This 361-nucleotide transfer RNA is filed under the name uncultured Microcystis sp. RNAcentral's name for it is "partial 16S-23S ribosomal RNA intergenic spacer". The stretch from base 136 to 209 matches the Rfam family "tRNA". The record is from RNAcentral. Lineage: Bacteria; Bacillati; Cyanobacteriota; Cyanophyceae; Chroococcales; Microcystaceae.
AAAGGGAGACCUAAUUCAGGUAAAAGACGAAAAAAAAGUAGUCGCUACCAAGAAUCAAUCCCAAAAGGUCGGAGCGAGGCGAAAUUGGCUUUCAAACUAGGUUCUGGGUUCACACAAGACCUGAAUCAGGAACAAGGGCUAUUAGCUUAGGUGGUUAGAGCGCACCCCUGAUAAGGGUGAGGUCCCUGGUUCGAGUCCAGGAUGGCCCACCUGCACAGGUGGCAAAAACAAGAGAAGCUCCGAAUCAGCACCUUAUCUUACUGACAUAGUAAGAGAGAAUGCUGGCUCUGAGUAAAGAGUCCAGAGGAACCUUGAAAACUGCAUAGAGCUAGGUGAAAAAGCCAAAAAAGAAGACCGCAAG